Molecule: transfer RNA, 72 nt
Filed under: Patescibacteria group bacterium
Lineage: Bacteria
Also listed under: 1 other name
Description: tRNA-Arg
Rfam family: tRNA
About the family: Transfer RNA (tRNA) molecules are approximately 80 nucleotides in length. Their secondary structure includes four short double-helical elements and three loops (D, anti-codon, and T loops). Further hydrogen bonds mediate the characteristic L-shaped molecular structure. tRNAs have two regions of fundamental functional importance: the anti-codon, which is responsible for specific mRNA codon recognition, and the 3' end, to which the tRNAs corresponding amino acid is attached (by aminoacyl-tRNA synthetases). tRNAs cope with the degeneracy of the genetic code in two manners: having more than one tRNA (with a specific anti-codon) for a particular amino acid; and 'wobble' base-pairing, i.e. permitting non-standard base-pairing at the 3rd anti-codon position.
Source: RNAcentral
GCCCUCAUAGCUCAACGGAUAGAGCGCAAGCUUGCGGAGCUUGAAAUCGAGGUUCGAUUCCCCGUGAGGGCA